GUGGGGAAUAUUGGACAAUGGGCGAAAGCCUGAUCCAGCCAUGCCGCGUGUGUGAAGAAGGCCUUCGGAUUGUAAAGCACUUUAAGUAGGGAGGAAGGGCAGUAAGUUAAUACCUUGCUGUUUUGACGUUACCGACAGAAUAAGCACCGGCUAACUUCGUGCCAGCAGCCGCGGUAAUACGAAGGGUGCGAGCGUUAAUCGGAAUUACUGGGCGUAAAGCGCGCGCAGGUGGUUUUGUAAGUUAGAGGUGAAAUCCCCGGGCUCAACCUGGGAAGUGCCUCCAAAACUGCAUGGCUAGAGUACGGUAGAGGGUGGUGGAAUUUCGUGUGUAGCAGUGAAAUGCGUAGAUAUAGGAAGGAACACCAGUGGCGAAGGCGACUACCUGGACUGAUACUGACGCUGAUGUGCGAAAGCGUGGGGAGCAAACAGGAUUAGAAACCCGGGUAGUCC
This 450-nucleotide ribosomal RNA is filed under the name uncultured bacterium. RNAcentral describes it as "bacterial SSU rRNA". It matches the Rfam family "Bacterial small subunit ribosomal RNA", at positions 354 to 796 of the family's 1533-position model. The record is from RNAcentral.